Molecule: transfer RNA, 69 nt
Filed under: Paromalus flavicornis
Lineage: Eukaryota; Metazoa; Arthropoda; Insecta; Coleoptera; Histeridae
Description: tRNA-Arg
Source: RNAcentral
AAAUAAGAAACAAAUUAUUGUAUUUAGUUUCGACCUAAACCUUAGAUGGCCCCCCCCCAUCCUUAUUUA